This 253-nucleotide ribosomal RNA is filed under the name uncultured bacterium. RNAcentral's name for it is "partial 16S ribosomal RNA". It matches the Rfam family "Bacterial small subunit ribosomal RNA", at positions 524 to 776 of the family's 1533-position model. The record is from RNAcentral.
AACGUAGGUUCCGAGCGUUAUCCGGAUUUACUGGGCGUAAAGCGCGUUCAGGCGGUUUGGCAAGUCGGGCAUGAAAUCUCUCGGCUCAACCGGGAGAGGUUGUCCGAUACUGCUGGGCUUGAGGGCAGUAGAGGGUGGUGGAAUUCCGGGUGUAGUGGUGAAAUGCGUAGAUAUCCGGAGGAACACCAGUGGCGAAAGCGGCCACCUGGACUGCACCUGACGCUGACACGCGAAAGCGUGGGGAGCAAACAGG